GUAGACGUAACGGCUAAAACUCAUACAGCUCGCUCCAAGCACCCUGCCAAUCGGGCGGCGCGGAGUUAACUCAGUAGAUCUGGCUAAGCAUGUAGAACCGAUAGCGGAGAGCUGGCGGACGGGGGUUCAAAUCCCCCCGGCUCCACCA
Molecule: transfer-messenger RNA, 148 nt
Filed under: Pseudomonas sp.
Lineage: Bacteria; Pseudomonadati; Pseudomonadota; Gammaproteobacteria; Pseudomonadales; Pseudomonadaceae
Description: partial transfer-messenger RNA
Rfam family: transfer-messenger RNA
About the family: Bacterial tmRNA, also known as 10Sa RNA or SsrA, is named for its dual tRNA and mRNA-like properties. Its role is to liberate the mRNA from a stalled ribosome.
Source: RNAcentral